Long non-coding RNA from Bos taurus (domestic cattle), 602 nucleotides. The record is from Ensembl. Lineage: Eukaryota; Metazoa; Chordata; Mammalia; Artiodactyla; Bovidae.
UCUUCCUUGUUGAGUUUCCUGACAACGCUCUCCAGUGAGCCAUCAGUUUCUUCACGACCCUGGGGACAUGCAGGCUCCGUUUUCAAGUACAUCCUGGGGCUUGGCAUGUGUGACAAAAGGCAGAGGCCUCUGAACCUGCUUAAUUCACCUCUGACUGAAGGUGAUGAAGACAGCGGAAUGGGCAGAGCUCUAAGACGUGGCAUGGGUCCCACUCAAAACAAGCAGAUCUGAGAAGAUCGGGAAGGACCCAGCUGCCCCCGAGCGGGCCACGGCAUCUGUUCUGGGAGGCUCUUGGCUCUGACUGCCGCCCCUGGUUAUGAAAGUUGGAUGGUGCCUGGGAACCCUCUGCUGGCUCCUCUCAUGCAAUUUCCCAGGCCUUCUCAGCUCUCCCAAAGCAGCCGGGUUACCAAGCAGCCCAAAGAGUGAAAUGUGCUCGAUGUGGGCCAGGGAUCCUGAGCUGCCUGGAUCUCCCUCUGACAUUUCCCAGCCACGUGGGAGGAGAGAUGGGACGAUUUGCAAGUGGCUCACCCUCCUUUGGAGAAGAUAAAUGUCAGAACUGAAAGCAACUGGGUACUGAUAUAGAGCUGCCUGCUCUUAAAUAA